Puntigrus tetrazona (Sumatra barb) is the source of this 264-nucleotide long non-coding RNA. RefSeq lists it as uncharacterized. The record is from RefSeq and is a predicted model, not a curated record. NCBI's taxonomy places the organism in Eukaryota, Metazoa, Chordata, Actinopteri, Cypriniformes, Cyprinidae. The transcript is spliced from 3 exons.
CUUCCUGAUCCACGACUGGGUUUCCUGGUUCACCGUGAGACUGGUCCCUCUCCUGCCCAGCUUGACUGCAGAGAUGCUUCAGACAGUGACAUCAUACACAGACUGCAACGCGUACCGCGUCGUCAUCCGUGCUCUGAGCGGCGUCUUUGACCAGAUUACUUCGCUAAGACAGCAGGAGCUCGCCCCAGUCAUGUUAGGCUACCUGAAGCAGCAUUACCCAUGGAGCUCAAGCUGUUGGUCCGGCACCGGCGGCCUUGGCGCUUG